GUGAUGCAGAUGAGGGGACACCAGUUUUUGGUUAUUUUGCGUCUGAUUUAUUUCAAUGAUGUCACUCUUUUCACCUUGAAGAACUGAUUCAUUCC
This is a small nucleolar RNA of Lolium perenne, 95 nucleotides long. NCBI's taxonomy places the organism in Eukaryota, Viridiplantae, Streptophyta, Magnoliopsida, Poales, Poaceae. The record is from RefSeq and is a predicted model, not a curated record.